GCCCCGUUAGCUCAGCGGUAGAGCAUCUCACUUGUAAUGAGAGGGUCAGGUGUUCAAUUCACCUACGGGGCU
RNAcentral lists this transfer RNA (72 nucleotides) under Candidatus Servula neotermitis. RNAcentral describes it as "tRNA-Thr". It matches the Rfam family "tRNA". From Rfam's summary of the family: Transfer RNA (tRNA) molecules are approximately 80 nucleotides in length. Their secondary structure includes four short double-helical elements and three loops (D, anti-codon, and T loops). Lineage: Bacteria; Bacillati; Actinomycetota; Actinomycetes; Bifidobacteriales; Bifidobacteriaceae. The record is from RNAcentral.